UUGAACGCUGGCGGCAGGCCUAACACAUGCAAGUCGAACGGUAACAGGAAGAAGCUUGCUUCUUUGCUGACGAGUGGCGGACGGGUGAGUAAUGUCUGGGAAACUGCCUGAUGGAGGGGGAUAACUACUGGAAACGGUAGCUAAUACCGCAUAACGUCGCAAGACCAAAGAGGGGGACCUUCGGGCCUCUUGCCAUCGGAUGUGCCCAGAUGGGAUUAGCUAGUAGGUGGGGUAACGGCUCACCUAGGCGACGAUCCCUAGCUGGUCUGAGAGGAUGACCAGCCACACUGGAACUGAGAC
This 300-nucleotide ribosomal RNA is filed under the name Escherichia coli. Its description in RNAcentral is "bacterial SSU rRNA". It matches the Rfam family "Bacterial small subunit ribosomal RNA", at positions 30 to 325 of the family's 1533-position model. The record is from RNAcentral. Lineage: Bacteria; Pseudomonadati; Pseudomonadota; Gammaproteobacteria; Enterobacterales; Enterobacteriaceae.